UAAACAUGUCUCUUCCAAACUUCCAUUACAGGUAGACUUCAGUCGAGCUUCUUCGUAGCCGAAUCCCAGACGAGCUUCUACAGCGGGACAGAACCCACCGGCCAGAUCGCUACUCCGAGCUCCCACGACAACCGAUCUUCGAUCGAGCUUCUACAAUAAGUGAUCUCCUUUCAGCCUCCUGCAAGAACUAGACCUUGAUCGAACUUCCAUAGUGGAUGGAUAUCGGAUGAGCUUCUACGAUGGAC
RNAcentral lists this long non-coding RNA (245 nucleotides) under Elaeis guineensis (African oil palm). RNAcentral's name for it is "long non-coding RNA (EGUI_LNC072544)". The record is from RNAcentral. Lineage: Eukaryota; Viridiplantae; Streptophyta; Magnoliopsida; Arecales; Arecaceae.